UACGUAGGCAGCAAGCGUUGUUCGGAGUUAUUGGGUUUAAAGGGUGCGUAGGCGGCUUUAUAAGUCAGUGCUGAAAUAUCCCGGCUUAACCGGGAGGGUGGCAUUGAUACUGCAGAGCUUGAGUGAAGUCGAGGUAGGCGGAAUUGACGGUGUAGCGGUGAAAUGCUUAGAUAUCGUCAAGAACACCGAUAGUGAAGACAGCUUACUAGACUUCAACUGACGCUGAGGCACGAAAGUGUGGGGAUCAAACAGG
Molecule: ribosomal RNA, 253 nt
Filed under: uncultured bacterium
Lineage: Bacteria
Description: partial 16S ribosomal RNA
Rfam family: Bacterial small subunit ribosomal RNA
Source: RNAcentral